This is a long non-coding RNA of Mirounga angustirostris (Northern elephant seal), 4332 nucleotides long. RefSeq lists it as uncharacterized. NCBI's taxonomy places the organism in Eukaryota, Metazoa, Chordata, Mammalia, Carnivora, Phocidae. The record is from RefSeq and is a predicted model, not a curated record. The transcript has 5 exons.
GUGGCAGCUUCUGAGAAACUUGAGAGACAGCUGAUGCAUGCCUUUGUCCUUUGUUAUUUAUUCUUUGAUGUAAUUUACAUGCUGCCUUGGACCAGGAGCUCCAGGGCCACACGCUUUGGAUGGUGAUGCUGAAGCAGUUGGUCCCAGUACCACACUUGGAGAAUCAGUGCUUUUAAGGAUGGAGGUGGAGGUGGGCCGGGAGGACUGGAGGAGUGACUCAACGUGACAGCUUUUUAGGCUAGUUUUUCCCUGCCGCACUUUAAAUAUAUCCUGCCACUCCCUUCUGGCCUGGAAAGUUUCUGCUGAGAAAUCUGAUAGAAGGUGACGUAGCUCUUACCAAGGUGGAUUUCCGGCUUCUCUUGAGAGACCGCAGGGCAGCAACUGCCUUCCUUUUGGUCCAAAUGUGGUGGAUCACAAAGUCUUCCUCAAAGGACCCAGAGGAAGGAGGAAGAAAUGGCAGCUCUCUAAAAAUGAAGCAGAACCAACACGAGAUACAUGGUUUCCUUUUUCCCAAGUGCUGGUGUCAUUCUGCAGAGAAAACAAUGGAGCGGUCAUCCUGAUGGGAAACACUGGGUUCCCUGCACUGACUGAGACCAGGUUUAACCAAGGCAUCAAGAAGCCGCACCUGGCGGGAGAAAUGUCUCAGGACAUUGGCUAAAUAGGGUAGAGCUGAAAGGGACUAGUUAGGGCCUCCCCUGUCUGCACACAACUUGCUCUUGAUAAAACUGCUGCCUUGUGGAGGGGGAUGGGUGCAUCCCUUUUCUACAGACUCCCUCACAAUUCAGUUGGAAUGAUCCAAGGUAGGCUGGCCACUGGGUAUGUGCUAUGAUUGAGGUAUGAAGCCCCAAGUUCCUGACCUUCUCCUAGCUCAUCUUGUCUUCAAUCUCCCACCUCCUCCUCCCCCCAAUUCUUCUUAUCACCACAUACAGAAACAUUGGCACAUUAUUUCUGAUUUCCAGUAUUCUAACCAGUCAUUAAGUUCUUGUUUACUGCUGUCUCAGUAUGUUGACUUAGAUAAUCUGUUGCCCCAUCUUCCCUAAAUACAUGUCUUUCUCCAAAGGGAAAGGAACCUGUGGGUGACAGAAGAAAGGAAGAGGGAAGGAAGGAAGGAAAGGAGGAAAAGAAAUAUGGUUACCAUGUGGCUCUCCAGAGACUUGGUUCAUUAAUAACUUACUUUAACAAUUACUUCUUUUUUUUUAAAAUAUAAUUUAUUUGUCAGAGAGAGAGAGAGAAAGCACAAGCAGGGGGAGCAGCAGAGGGAGAGGAAGCAGACUCCCCGCUGAGCAGGGAGCCCAAUGUGGGGCUCCAUCCCAGGACCCUGGGAUCAUGACCUGAGCCAAAGGCAGAUGCUUAACUGGCUGAGCCACCCAGGCGUCCUUUAAGAAACACUUCUAUAGCCUUUAUUUGCUAGAUGCUAUUUUAAGUGCUGUGAGUAUUAACUUUUUAAAAUAAAGUAAAAACAGCUAUGAUGAUGUACUUGUGAGGUAGGUUCUAUUAUUUUCCUUAUUUUACAGAAAAGGAAGCAGAGUUGAGCCAAAUGCUCAAGGUCAUAGCUAGGAAGAGCCAGCUUCCAACCCAGACAGUUUGUUCUGGCUCCUUCUCUUACCCACUUUAUUUUGCUGCCUCUUCUCUCUGGUAUUUUAAAGAAUUUAACCUAAACAUUUUAUGACUAUGUGAAUAAUGCAUUCUUACUGUCAGAAAUUUGGAAAGGAGAUAAAGGUUAAAGAAGGAAAGAUAAAUAAUUCCAACCUCCAAAAACUGUGGUUAACAUUCUCAUAUUUUUAGUCUUUUCUCUAUAAGGUAUUUGCUCACAUAUGGAGAUCAUAUUACAUGUGUAAUUACAUUUCCUAAAUUUUCCUUAAUGUUCUAUAAUCAUUUUCUGUUGGUCACCAAACACUUAAAAAACAAAAUUUUAAAAUAACUACUAGACAUUUGAAUUGUGCUAAAUUUUUACUCAUAAACCGUGUUUUGUCUUGCUGUUUUUUUCUUUAAAAAAAAAAGAUGCUUGUGUUAAGACUAUUUUGGUUACAAAAAUUCUGAUGACAGAAAAUUUGGAAAUAAAGAGAAAACUAUUCAAUUUAUAAGUCCAUCAAGGUUUGUUGGGCAUCCUUCCUGUGCUGGACACUGUAAGAAGCUGAAGGUAUGACGGUUAACAAGAGCUGUUUCUUACCCACAAGGAGCUUACAUUCUGGUGUAGUAGAUGAAUAUCACAUAAAGUGUUAAGGAAAAAGGACCCUUUAGCUCCACCGCUUAGAAGAGAUAACCACCACUUACAACCAGGUGUAUAACUUUUCUAAUAUUAUGUUUACAUAUAAUUUUAAGCAAAAAUGGGAUUACAUUGUUGAUGGUUUUAUAUCUUGCUUUCCCCCCAGCAUACAACUUGCUAUUAUUCAAUGUUUGUCAAAAAUUAUACUGUUAAUGGUGGCAUAAUUUUCUGUUUUAUGUGUGAAACAUAAUUCAAUCAUCCUAUUGUGAAACGUUCAGAUUUUCAGUGUUUUGAAUUACAAACAUUGCUUCAAUGAAUAUACUUAAAACCUUUUUUUCACAUCUCCCUGUGAAAUUUCUGAAGAUGAAAUUUUCAGCAUAUAGAUAAUGAACAUGUUUAAGACCCUUAAUAUAAAAAAAAUUACACUUCAGAAAGCCUGAGUAUUUUUCAGUCUCACCAGGACCAUAUGAGGCACCCCUUCCCUGUGUCUUCACCCACAUUGUCUAGUAUAAUAAAAAAAAAAUGGAUCUUUUCCAAGACCUUGUUUAAUUCCCAUCUCAGUUUGCAUACAUUUGAGUACUGAUAAAGGGCAAGUAUUUUUUUCACAAGAUUAUUGACUAUAUCUUUUUUGGUGAUUUUUGCUUGUUUUCCCCAUUGCUUUUUCUAUUAGGGUUUUUUUCUUUUUUUCCAAACUGAUUUGAAAACUUUCUUGUCACUUUCCCUUGAAUUGAUAAUCAUACAUUUUAUACAGGGACAGUUGUGUAAGUUAAAGACUGCUUUGUUCCUUGGCUCGUGCCUUCCUUCCUCCAGUUUCAAAGCCAGCCACUGGCAUCUCUUUGAACUUCUUCCAUAGUUACACCUCUCUGAUUCUCCUCUCCUGCCACCUCUUCCAAUGCUACUGACUCUUGUGAUUGCAUUGAGUCCCCCUGGAUAAUACAGGAUACCCUCCCUAUCUCAGGAUCAACUGAUGAGCUGACUUAAUUCCAUCUGCAACCUUAAUAUUCACCUGGGAAUUAGGAUGUGGACAUCUUUGGGAGGACAUUAUUCUGCCCACCAUGAUACUUUAUUGUACUUUCUUUACCAAAUAGCUACCUCUUUAUACAUCUUUAUCAAUUUACCUUUUUUUUUUUUUUUGGGAUGUAUUUCAAAGUAAAUUGCAGAUGUCAGUAUACUUCACCCUAAAUUAGCAUGUCAUAAAGUAGACAUCUAUUAUUUGUUUACAGCUUAGAAAACAUUAUUUUUUUAACCACAAAACUGCGUUUUCCAGGAAUAGCAGAGAAUUGGAAUCUGGGAUGAGCAAGUUAUAGUUAAACCAUAGGCAAGUCCUCAGUUUUUUAAAAUUUUGUGGUAAAUUUUACUUACAAGAAAAUGUGCAAAUUUAAAAUAUGCAUUGCUGAAUUUAGCAAAUGCAUACACUUGUGUAACCUAAAAUCCUAUAAAGAAAGAAAAUGUUAACACUGUGUAUCAUGCCCCUUCCUAGCCACUGUUCUGAGGUUGCUGGUUUUGUUUUUGUUUUUUGUUUUUCAUUUUAGAUUAGUUUUACGUAUUGUAAGUCUUGAUAUAAAUGGAGUUAUUCAGUGUGCACUUUCAUGUAAGACCUCUUGCAUUCAGCUUUUAUUAUAAUGAUUAUUAUUAUUUUUAGUAUCAGUAGUUCAUUCCUUUUUGUUAUUGAUAUUCCAUUGUGUUGAAUAUUACUGUUGCCCUAUUUAUGCAUACCAGAUUUCAGUUCUUGGCUCUUAUAAAUGAAUUCUUGCACAAGUCUUCUUGUGGACACAUGUUUUUAUUCCUCUUGAGCAAAUAUCCAGAAGUAGAGUUAAUGAACCAUUGGGAAAGUGUAUAUUUAGUUUUAUAAGAAACUGCUAGAACUUAAAAAAAAUUUAUAUUAUUUUACACUCUCACCAACAAUGCGUAAGAGUUCCAGUUGCUCUAAAUCCCUGCCAACAUUUGGUGUUGUCAGUGUUUUUAAUUUCAACCAUUUUGACAGGUGUUUUUUGUGAUUUUAGUUUGCAUUUUGCUGAUGACUAACGUUGAACCCUUUUUCAUGUACAUAUUAGUCAUUCAUAUCUUUUGCUCAUUUUUACUGUUUUUUGUACUUUUAAGUAUUAACUUGAUUUGUAUCUCAUUGG